This 433-nucleotide ribosomal RNA is filed under the name uncultured bacterium. RNAcentral describes it as "partial 16S ribosomal RNA". It matches the Rfam family "Bacterial small subunit ribosomal RNA", at positions 29 to 507 of the family's 1533-position model. The record is from RNAcentral.
AACGAACGCUGGCGGCAUGCCUAACACAUGCAAGUCGAACGAGACCUUCGGGUCUAGUGGCGCACGGGUGCGUAACGCGUGGGAACCCGCCCUUAGGUUCGGAAUAACUCCCCGAAAGGGGUGCUAAUACCGGAUAAUGUCUUCGGACCAAAGAUUUAUCGCCUUUGGAUGGGCCCGCAUUGGAUUAGCUAGUUGGUAGGGUAAAAGCCUACCAAGGCGACGAUCCAUAGCUGGUCUGAGAGGAUGAUCAGCCACACUGGGACUGAGACACGGCCCAGACUCCUACGGGAGGCAGCAGUGGGGAAUAUUGGACAAUGGGCGAAAGCCUGAUCCAGCAAUGCCGCGUGAGUGAUGAAGGCCUUAGGGUUGUAAAGCUCUUUUACCCGGGAUGAUAAUGACAGUACCGGGAGAAUAAGCUCCGGCUAACUCCGUG